UACGGGGGGGGUAAGCGUUGUUCGGAAUUACUGGGCGUAAAGGGCUCGUAGGCGGCCAACUAAGUCGGACGUGAAAUCCCUCAGCUUAACUGGGGAACUGCGUCCGAUACUGGAUGGCUUGGAUUUGGGAGAGGGAUGCGGAAUUCCAGGUGUAGCGGUGAAAUGCGUAGAUAUCUGAAGGAACACCGGUGGCGAAGGCGGCAUCCUGGACCAAUAUUGACGCUGAGGAGCGAAAGCCAGGGGAGCAAACGGG
Molecule: ribosomal RNA, 253 nt
Filed under: uncultured bacterium
Lineage: Bacteria
Description: partial 16S ribosomal RNA
Rfam family: Bacterial small subunit ribosomal RNA
Source: RNAcentral